UUUGACUUAUAAUCUAUGUUUAGUAUUUUGUGAGCGAUCUUAAGCAACUCCAAGAGAUAACAAUAUCGCUUUGUGUUUUUGUGCACUAAACUUCCCUUGGAUUGUUAUAUACUAAAGAUGAACUUCCUACCCGACUAACUAAUCCUAAAAACGCCUACUUGUAGUUGACAUUUCUUUUCCCAUUGUACAACCAAUUUCUGCAUUAGGUCCAGUUCUCAGCAUACAUUUUCGGCAGUUACAAUGGCACCAUCUCACUCAUGGUCCAGGAAGAAGCAGGUGAAGUAACUGCUGCACCACUUGUCUGGGAAAGAGCAGGGAGCUGGAGCGAUAACUGGUUCCUUGUAACUUUGGAAAUGCCGAGGCUUCGGAACUGUUUUCAUCUGCAGCUCUUGGCCACAUGGGGCUGGAAUUCGCUAGUUGACAUUGCUGUGGACAACAUUACGUUUGGCCAAGAAUGCUUCUCUAAUGGAAGAAGACAAAGCUACCCUGAGGAAAGCAAAACCUAUCUGUGGGAGACNGAUCUACUGGACGAGCGCUUGUUUAAUCCAUUGGAAGAACCUCUUCCUUUAGGUGAUUAUCUAUUCAUUGUGCCUGUAUGCUAUCCUUUCA
Molecule: long non-coding RNA, 609 nt
Filed under: Salvator merianae (Argentine black and white tegu)
Lineage: Eukaryota; Metazoa; Chordata; Lepidosauria; Squamata; Teiidae
Description: lncRNA (ENSSMRG00000010251.1)
Source: RNAcentral